GUCGUACAGGUCUCCGUAGGUGAACUUGCGGAGGGAUCAUUACACAAAUAUGAAGGCGGGCUGGAACCUCUCGGGGUUACAGCCUUGCUGAAUUAUUCACCCUUGUCUUUUGCGUACUUCUUGUUUCCUUGGUGGGUUCGCCCACCACUAGGACAAACAUAAACCUUUUGUAAUUGCAAUCAGCGUCAGUAACAAAUUAAUAAUUACAACUUUCAACAACGGAUCUCUUGGUUCUGGCAUCGAUGAAGAACGCAGCGAAAUGCGAUAAGUAGUGUGAAUUGCAGAAUUCGGUGAAUCAUCGAAUCUUUGAACGCACAUUGCGCCCUUUGGUAUUCCAAAGGGCAUGCCUGUUCGAGCGUCAUUUGUACCCUCAAGCUUUGCUUGGUGUUGGGCGUCUUGUCUCUAGCUUUGCUGGAGACUCGCCUUAAAGUAAUUGGCAGCCGGCCUACUGGUUUCGGAGCGCAGCACAAGUCGCACUCUCUAUCAGCAAAGGUCUAGCAUCCAUUAAGCCUUUUUUUCAACUUUUGACCUCGGAUCAGGUAGGGAUACCCGCUGAACUUAAGCAUAUC
RNAcentral lists this ribosomal RNA (569 nucleotides) under uncultured fungus. Its description in RNAcentral is "eukaryotic LSU rRNA". The stretch from base 208 to 361 matches the Rfam family "5.8S ribosomal RNA". Lineage: Eukaryota; Fungi. The record is from RNAcentral.